Molecule: ribosomal RNA, 465 nt
Filed under: uncultured bacterium
Lineage: Bacteria
Description: partial 16S ribosomal RNA
Rfam family: Bacterial small subunit ribosomal RNA
Source: RNAcentral
GACGAACGCUGGCGGCGUGCUUAACACAUGCAAGUCGAACGGAAAGGCCCCUUAGGGGGUACUCGAGUGGCGAACGGGUGAGUAACACGUUAGUAACCUGCCCUUGACUUCGUGAUAACUUCAGGAAACUGGGGCUAAUACCGUAAAGGAAUCUUUGCUGCAUGGUGGGGGUUGGAAAGCUUCGGCGGGUUUGGAUGGACUCGAGGCUUAUCAGCUUGUUGGGGGGGUAGUGGCUUACCAAGGCUUUGACGGGUAGCCGGCCUGGGAGGGCGAACGGGCACAUUGGGACUGAGAUACGGCGCAGACGGCAACGGGAGGCAGCAGUGGGGAAUAUUGCACAAUGGGCGGAAGUGAGAGGCAGCAACGCCGCGGGCGGGAUGACGUCCUUCGCGUGGUGAACCGCUUUCAGCAGGGGAGAAGCAUGUGGUGACGGUACCGGAAGAAGAAGCAACGGCUAACUACGUG